Long non-coding RNA from Ictidomys tridecemlineatus (thirteen-lined ground squirrel), 3302 nucleotides. RefSeq lists it as uncharacterized. Lineage: Eukaryota; Metazoa; Chordata; Mammalia; Rodentia; Sciuridae. The record is from RefSeq and is a predicted model, not a curated record.
AGAAAUCUUUUUUUGAUACUGUAAAUUGAAGUGUUUUCUGGACAUUAUGCUCAGAUUAUUUAUUGUUAAUGUAAGGAAACAGAAUUGAUUUUUCUCUUAUUCUAAAAACUUCCUGGACUCAUCACUGAUGACUGUUUAGUGAUUCUUUUGGAUUUUCUACAUAUAACAACAUGUCAAUUACACCUAUAGGCAAUUUUAUUUCUUCCUUUCCAGCCAGUAAGAUGUUUAACAUUCCUACUAAAAUUUUCUAUUCUAUUACUGGAUAGAAGUGGUGAGAAAAAUCUUGUCCUCAAAUUUAGAGGAGAAGAAUGUAGUCCUUCACCAUUAAGGACAACUUUGUCUGUGAACUGUUCACGGAUGCUCUUUACCAGCUUAAGGAAAUUAAUUUCUACUCCUUGUUUGUUGGGUGCUGUGGUGAGGGUGGAGUGUUGGAGUCUGACAAGUGGGUUUUUUUUUUUUUUUGCGUUUAUCAGAUGAUCAUAUGUGCUUUAUCCUUUAUUCUAUUGAAAUAGUGUAUUACAUUAAUUUUUUUAAAAUAUUAAAUGGACCUUAUCUUUACAGGGCUAAAUCCUACUGUUCGUGGUUUCUAAUCCUUUUUUCAUGUCCCCAGAUAACACCCAGCCAGUAUUCCCUGAAGAUUUUCCUGUCUGUAUUCCAUCAAUACUGGCCCUAGUUUUCUGCUCCUAGGAUGCCCUCAUCUGCCCCUGGAUCAAGUCACUGUCUGGAAAACUCAACACUGUUGAGAGGGCAGUAAGCUUCCGGUGGAACCCCAGACCAACUUAACCCUGACUACGUUCAAGCUGUGUUUUUCUUCACAGAAGCUCACAUAUUAAUCCUAAAAACAGUUCAUAUGGCAACGGAAGGACCCAGAACAACCAGAUCAAUUAUGAAAAAGAAGAAAAAAAGUUGUAAAAAUUGUAAGACUUACUCUAAAAUGACGGCAACCAAGACAGUGAUACUGGCACAGACAGAUGCCAACAGCAGGAUGGAAUUAAGCCUUUAUCUGUGGAAAAUAGACCUUUACAUUUAUGAUCAACUGAUUUUUUUGAGCAAGUGUGCCAAGAUAAUUCAAUGAGCAGAAAAAAGUAGCCUUUUUAAUAAAUAGUGUUUGUGGGGAGGGUGGUGGAGAGAAAGAAAAAGAAGAAAGGAAAAGAAGUUUUGCCACUACCUCACACCAUACCAUAAACAAAACAAACUCAAAGAAUCACAGACCCACAUUUAAGAGCUAAAUCUACAAUUGUACUAGAAGAAAAUAUGUGAAUAAAUAUUGAGGAACUUCUAUCAGGCAAUAUUGUCUGAGAUACGUCACCCAAAACAAAGAGACUAAAAAAAAUUAGAUACAACUUUAUCAAAUUUAGAAACUUUGGGCUGGGGAAUAUAGCUCAGUUGGUAGAGUGCUUGCCUUUCAUGCAUAAGGUUCAAUCCCUGGGUUCAAUCCCUAGCACCACACACAUACACGUGUGCACACCCACACACACAAAAGAGCAUAACUUUAAAAAAGAAAUAGAAACUUUGUCCUUCAAAGGAUGCACUUAAGAAAAAGAAAACAUAACCUCAGAAUAGGAGAAAAUAGUUUCAAUCAUACUGUGUCAGCCAGUUUUUCAUGGCUAUGGCCAAAUUACUUGGCAAAAAAAAUAGAGGAGAAAAGUGUAUUUCAGAGGUCUCACUUCAUGGUACAGCUGACUUCAUUUCUGUGGACCUGAGAUGAGGCAGAACAUCAUGGUGGGUGGGUGUGGCAGAGGAAGGCUGCUCAGAUCCUGGCAGCCAGGCAGCUGAGGAAGAGAAACCCAACCAAGUCACCUCCAGUGACCUUAUCAGCUAUCAAUGGAUUAAUCCACUGUUGAGGUCAGAGCUCUAAUUUUUGUCAAAAAGUCCCACCUCUCAAACCUUGGUGAAUUGGAGACCAGGCUUCCAACACCUAAAGUUUUAGGGACAUUCCAGUUCCAAACUAUAACACAUAUAUUUGAUAAGGAACUUGUAUCCAGAACAUAUAAAAAACUCUUACAAAUCAACAAAAAGGAUAACACAAUUCAAAAAUGGGAAAAGAUUUGAAUAGAAAUAUACUUACCUAAGAAAAGAGAAAACAUGAGUCCAUUCAAAAUCUUUUUUAAUUUUUAUAGCAGUAUUAGUCAUAAUAACCAAAAAUGGAGGCGAGUCAAAUGAACAUCCGUGUAUUGAUUGGUAUAUAAAAAGUGGCAAAUAUAUUUGUACACUGGAAUAUUACUUGGCAAUAAAAAUGAAGUACUGGUAAAUGCUACUACAUAGCUGAAUCUUGAAAACUAUGUUUAAAAGUCAGUCUUGAAAGACCAGAUAUUAUAUAAUUUUACUAAAAUGAAAUGUGUAGAAUGGGUAUAGAGACAGAAAACAGAUGAAUGGAAGCCUGGAUUUAGCAGGGAGGUCAAGAAUGAGGAAUGAUUAAUAAUGAGUAUACAUUUAUUCUGGAGGUAACUAAAAUAUUCCAACAUUAGGUAGCAGUGAAGGACACAUAACUAUUUGGAUACACCAAAACACACUGAACUAUAUACUUUAAAUGACCAAACUUGAUAGUAAAAGUAUGUCUCGAGCUAUUUUAAAGGACAGAGUCUUCCUCUAGAAUAUUGGUAGCCUGUAUGUGUCUCAGACUACACUAUCUCUAAGUGACACACAGUGCUUCUUCCUGAGACACUAUCUGAAACCCAUCUUAUUUUCCUGCAAGCCACUAGGAUUCCAUGCCUUGUUUCUCUGUAAGGGCUAUUUGAGAGCAGUAGCUCUAGAUUUCUGACAGAUAUUGCCAUACAUUCCAGCCAGUAUGUCUGACAAACUGAUUUCCUUGUGGGGCAGAUAAAUGACAGGCCCACUAAAGUAAUUCCUGUGAACUGUCACUAUAAAUUAAUGUGUACAGAGAACACAGUCCACUCAAAAAGGACAAGUAACAGAGCUCAUCAUAUCCUGGUGGGUUGUACAUCAAAGUUUAUUACAUAUAUUUUAAUAUGUUCAUUAUAUACCUAGAUUUGUGUACAUAAUCCAUGUGGGUAAGGGGAUGAAGCUUGGGGAUAUAUUUAUGCAGAAAUGAAGGAGCUGGUCUCACUACAAAUGUAUAAGUAUUGAGAACAAAAAUGGAUUUAAAGGUUCAUUUAGGGGGAAAAAUUGAUUUUUUACAAUUCUGUCAAGAACAUUUUUUAAAAAAUGGUCUAAUAUAACUUGCUUCAUUAUCCAAUCUAAAAUAAUUAACUUACUGAUAUUUACUUUUGUCCCAAACAGGCAUUGCUAUUUGUACUCUCUAAGUGCAACUACUAAUAAAAAGCAUGAUAUUACUGAGUUCA